This is a non-coding RNA of Caenorhabditis elegans, 21 nucleotides long. NCBI's taxonomy places the organism in Eukaryota, Metazoa, Nematoda, Chromadorea, Rhabditida, Rhabditidae. The record is from Ensembl.
UGUUUUUGGAUCUUUUUGUUU